This is a non-coding RNA of Cercophora newfieldiana, 74 nucleotides long. NCBI's taxonomy places the organism in Eukaryota, Fungi, Ascomycota, Sordariomycetes, Sordariales, Lasiosphaeriaceae. The record is from the annotation of a GenBank genome assembly.
GAUUCGUUAACGUAGUGGUUAACGUACCUGCUUUUUAAAACGGGAGGUCGUAAGUUUAAAUCUCACACAGUCCU